Molecule: ribosomal RNA, 378 nt
Filed under: Anaplasma marginale
Lineage: Bacteria; Pseudomonadati; Pseudomonadota; Alphaproteobacteria; Rickettsiales; Anaplasmataceae
Description: bacterial SSU rRNA
Rfam family: Bacterial small subunit ribosomal RNA
Source: RNAcentral
AAGCUUAACACAUGCAAGUCGAACGGACCGUAUACGCAGCUUGCUGCGUGUAUGGUUAGUGGCAGACGGGUGAGUAAUGCAUAGGAAUCUACCUAGUAGUAUGGGAUAGCCACUAGAAAUGGUGGGUAAUACUGUAUAAUCCCUGCGGGGGAAAGAUUUAUCGCUAUUAGAUGAGCCUAUGUCAGAUUAGCUAGUUGGUGGGGUAAUGGCCUACCAAGGCGGUGAUCUGUAGCUGGUCUGAGAGGAUGAUCAGCCACACUGGAACUGAGACACGGUCCAGACUCCUACGGGAGGCAGCAGUGGGGAAUAUUGGACAAUGGGCGCAAGCCUGAUCCAGCUAUGCCGCGUGAGUGAGGAAGGCCUUAGGGUUGUAAAACU